RNAcentral lists this long non-coding RNA (939 nucleotides) under Salmo salar (Atlantic salmon). RNAcentral's name for it is "lncRNA (ENSSSAG00000084844.1)". The record is from RNAcentral. Lineage: Eukaryota; Metazoa; Chordata; Actinopteri; Salmoniformes; Salmonidae.
CUGGCUUUCCUCGCACACUCACGAUGGAUUUAGCAUCUUUCAUUUUCUUCUGUAAUAAAUCUGCUAUUGUCCGGUUGGAAUAUUAUCUCAAUUUUACGAUUAUAACACCCUAAAGAUUGAUUGUGAACAUGGUUUGACAUGGUCCUACAAACGCUGAGGGAACUUUAUAACUUUUCGUCGACGGUGGAUAGAUACAUUUUGGAAUGGGGACCUGGACGCGCCGUCAAAACGGAUUUAUUUUGACAUAAAUGAUGGACUUUAUCGAACAAAUGAACAUUUCUUGUGGAAGUGGGAGACCUUCCAAGUGCAUUCAGCCGAAGAUCAGCAAAGGCUUUUCCUGCGGGGCUACAGAGGAACAGCAGUAGAGCAGAGCAGCCUGGGGUCACAUGGCACCAGUUUCAGCACCUGUGACGCCGACAACGACAACUGCCUGUGCAAGUGUGCCCUCAUGGGCGGCAGGACCUGAGCCCUAGGACCAUGCCUCAGGACUACCUGGCAUGAUGACUCCUUGCUGUCCCCAGUCCACCUGGCCGUGCUGCUGCUCCAGUUUCAACUGUUCUGCCUGCGGCUAUGGAACCCUGACCUGUUCACCGGACGUGCUUGUUGCACCCUCGACAACUACUAUGAUUAUUAUUAUUUGACCAUGCUGGUCAUUUAUGAACAUUUUAACAUCUUGAUCAUGUUCUGUUAUAAUAUCCACCCGGCACAGCCAGAAGAGGACUGGCCACCCCUCAUAGCCUGGUUCCUCUCUAGGUUUCUUCCUAGGUUUUUGCCUUUCUAGGGAGUUUUUCCUAGGGAGUUUUUCCUAGCCACCAUGCUUCUUUCACAUGUAUUGCUUGCUGUUUGGGGUUUUAGGCUGGGUUUCUGUACAGCACUUUGAGAUAUCAGCUGAUGUACGAAGGGCUAUAUAAAUAAAUUUGAUUUGAUUUGAUGAGUGGG